RNAcentral lists this long non-coding RNA (1401 nucleotides) under Bos indicus x Bos taurus (hybrid cattle). RNAcentral describes it as "lncRNA (ENSBIXG00005006027.1)". Lineage: Eukaryota; Metazoa; Chordata; Mammalia; Artiodactyla; Bovidae. The record is from RNAcentral.
GCCGGGGUAGGGGCGGGGUGGGGGGCACCAUUUACCAGUGAGGACUCAACGAGUGCUCAUCAAUCACCCACCAUCUGGGUGCGGGGUGGGGGCUCCCCCUCUGGGGGUGCGUGGCAGGGGGAUCCCAGUCUGCCUUUGUCAGUCGCGCCGAGUACCGCCUGGAAGGGCUGCUACUGCGGAGGGGAAGCCUGGACCUCCCUGUUGCUCUUCCCCGACCCUCCUCCCUCCUCCCUGACCAGGGCAAGGACCCCCCCAGUGGUCCUGGAGGGCGGGGAAGAGGCCGGCCGGUCCCCGGCUGAGGCGGCGGCGGCGAGGAGGGGGCGCGGAGGAGCGGCUCCACCUCCUCUGUCUCCCAAUCGCGUUACAGGCGGAGCCGCCAGAGUUUCCCUUCGCGCGGAGAAGUGUGGUCCCAACUCUCAGGAUCGAAGCCGCCCACCACUCACCCCGGGCCGCCUCGGCCCGGCGGCAUCGCGGCUCCAGGCCCGUCCACCCCGGGGACGCGUCGCCCCGGCCCCACCGCCCGGCCCCGGGCCCCGCACUCACCACCCGGCCGGGCCCCGCGGGACGAGCGCGCCGAGGCGGGCGCCGGCCGCUCCGGGUUCGGAAUCUGCGCGCGCGGCGGCCUCCCCCCUCCCUUGUUCGCCCCCCACACCCCGCUCCGCCACCCCCCGGAGGUGGGUCUGGCGGAGCCGCAGCUGUUACCCGGAGACCGAGGGGCGGAAAACUGCGCCCGCCGCCCGCCCCGCCCGCCGCGGCGCUGCCACCGCCGGGAACAAAGGAGACAAAGCCGCGUCGGCCGGGCCCGGCUCCGCUCCUUCCCCCCCCCGCUCCCGCCGGGCCGCCCUCCCCCCGCCCGCCGCCCAGGCCAGGCCGGAAGCAGCCGGGAGAGCCGGGCGCGCGGCCCCGAGCCGCCCGGGACCCCGCAUUCCAGCCCUCCCGGCUCUGCACUUGCCGAGGGCGGGGGACUCGACCCCUCGCUCGCUAGGGGGGCGGACGGUGGGGGGAGGGGAGGGGAAAGGGCUGCACCCCGGCGGUUGCCAAGGCAACGCGGAUGGCGGCGGGAGGAGCGCGCAGAGUCGAGCCGCGGGACCGGCUGCCCCACCCCGCCCAGUCCCCGCCGGGCCUCACCUGCGCGCCGCGCUGGAGCCGGAAUUGGGGGCCCUCCGGCACGGGAGGGGCCGGACGGCGGGGGCUGGGGGGUGGGGGUCGCGCUCUCCAACCCGACGUGUGGUGGUGCUCCGACCGGACCUCCGCCUGCCUGCCUGCCAGCGCCCGGUGGGACCCACGCCCCUCACCUGCCCCACCAACCACCGCCAACCACCACCCCCGCUCUCCGGGGCCCGUCUUACCAGUCCAGUACCUGGUUCCUGUGGUCAUCCUCCUCCAACUUUCUUUACCUGA